AAGCUAACGCGUGAAGUCGACCGCCUGGGGAGUACGGCCGCAAGGUUAAAACUCAAAGGAAUUGACGGGGACCCGCACAAGCGGUGGAUUAUGUGGAUUAAUUCGAUGCAACGCGAAAAACCUUACCUACCCUUGACAUGUCCCGAAGCCCGGUGAGAGCUGGGUGUGCCCGAAAGGGAACGGGAACACAGGUGCUGCAUGGCUGUCGUCAGCUCGUGUCGUGAGAUGUUGGGUUAAGUCCCGCAACGAGCGCAACCCUUGUCAUUAGUUGCUACAUUCAGUUGGGCACUCUAAUGAGACUGCCGGUGACAAACCGGAGGAAGGUGGGGAUGACGUCAAGUCCUCAUGGCCCUUAUGGGUAGGGCUUCACACGUAAUACAAUGGCGCGUACAGAGGGUUGCGAAGGAGCGAUCUGGAGCCAAUCCCUUAAAGCGCGUCGUAGUCCGGAUUGCAGUCUGCAACUCGACUGCAUGAAGUCGGAAUCGCUAGUAAUCGCGGAUCAGCAUGUCGCGGUGAAUACGUUCCCGGGUCUUGUACACACCGCCCGUCACACCAUGGGAGUGGGUUUCACCAGAAGCCGGUCGCCUAACCGCAAGGAGGGCGCCGACCACGGUGAGAUUCAUGACUGGGGUGAAGUCGUAACAAGGUAACCAAGGG
Molecule: ribosomal RNA, 657 nt
Filed under: uncultured bacterium
Lineage: Bacteria
Description: bacterial SSU rRNA
Rfam family: Bacterial small subunit ribosomal RNA
Source: RNAcentral